This 443-nucleotide ribosomal RNA is filed under the name uncultured bacterium. Its description in RNAcentral is "partial 16S ribosomal RNA". It matches the Rfam family "Bacterial small subunit ribosomal RNA", at positions 338 to 795 of the family's 1533-position model. The record is from RNAcentral.
CCUACGGGUGGCAGCAGUGGGGAAUAUUGGGCAAUGGAGGAAACUCUGACCCAGCAACGCCGCGUGAAUGAUGAAGGUCUUCGGAUUGGAAAGUUCUUUUCUAAGGGAAGAAGAAAGUGACGGUAACUUAGGAAUAAGCCUCGGCUAACUACGUGCCAGCAGCCGCGGUAAUACGUAGGAGGCAAGCGUUAGCCGGAAUGACUGGGCGUAAAGGGUGCGUAGGUGGUUUGAUAAGUUGGUAGCGUAACUCCGAGGCUCAACAUCGGCACUACUACCAAAACUGUCGGACUUGAGUGCAGGAGGGGCAACUGGAAUUCCUAGUGUAGCGGUGUAAUGCGUAGAUAUUAGGAGGAACACCAGUGGCGAAGGCGAGUUGCUGGACUGUAACUGACACUGAGGCACGAAAGCGUGGGGAGCAAACAGGAUUAGAUACCCUGGUAGUC